This is a long non-coding RNA of Sapajus apella (tufted capuchin), 201 nucleotides long. RefSeq lists it as uncharacterized. The transcript has 2 exons. The record is from RefSeq and is a predicted model, not a curated record. NCBI's taxonomy places the organism in Eukaryota, Metazoa, Chordata, Mammalia, Primates, Cebidae.
UUUCCCACAAAACUUAAAACUCCCAAUAAGGGUAACUAUCCUAAUGCAAAAAGGACUCACACAUGCUACAUUUAAAGUAAUAAAGCACUAGGUCUGGCUCAUGCCUGUAAUCCUAGCACUUUGGGAGUCUGAAGUUGGCGGAUCACUUUAGGUCAGGAGUUAGAGACCAGCCUGGCCAACAUAGUGAAGUCCCAUCUCUAC